This 601-nucleotide ribosomal RNA is filed under the name Pseudodarwinella sp. DAM2. RNAcentral describes it as "Darwinella sp. DAM2 partial 16S ribosomal RNA". It matches the Rfam family "Bacterial large subunit ribosomal RNA", at positions 1854 to 2768 of the family's 2925-position model. Lineage: Eukaryota; Metazoa; Arthropoda; Insecta; Coleoptera; Perimylopidae. The record is from RNAcentral.
CUGACCUGCCCAGUGAUUAAUAUUUAACGGCCGCAGUAUCUUGACUGUGCAAAGGUAGCAUAAUCAUUAGUUUUUUAAAUGGAAGCUAGAAUGAAUGGUUUUAUAAGAAAAAAGCUGUCUCAGUAUUAUUUAAUUAUAAUUUUAUUUUUAAGUUAAAAAGCUUAAAUCUUAUAAAAAGACGAGAAGACCCUAUAGAGUUUUAUAUAUUUAAAAAUUUAUUAAUUUUAAGAUUAUAUUAAUUUUGAAUUUUUAAUAUUUUUUAUUGGGGUGAUGUAAAAAUUUAAAUAACUUUUUAUUAUAAAGUCAUUAAUUUAUGAAUAAUUGAUCCUAUAUUUUAGAUUAUAAGAAAAAAUUACCUUAGGGAUAACAGCGUAAUUUUUUUUAGAGUUCUUAUUGAAAAAAGAGAUUGCGACCUCGAUGUUGGAUUAAAAUUAAAUUUUGGUGAAGAAGCUAAAAAUUUAGGUCUGUUCGACCUUUAAAAUUUUACAUGAUCUGAGUUUAAACCGGUGUGAGCCAGGUUGGUUUCUAUCUUUUAUUAAAAAUUACAUCUUAGUACGAAAGGACCAGAUGUAAAAAUUAAAUUUUAAUGUUUGAAUAAAAU